GAAGGGGCGGGCUCCGGCCGCAGGGGUGGGUGGAGUCUUCCCUUGGUCGCCCGUCUUGGGAAUCUUUAAGCGCUGUCCUUGCUCUCCAGUCUGGUAUGUGGCGUGGCCGUCCCGGGCAGGAGUGGCCUAAGGAGGGGGGACGGGGCGCUCUGCUCAGAAACCAAAGCCUUGGCACGCUUCGUGUCCUAGGACGCUUCGGGCCGUUGGUGAAGAUCCGCGCCUCCGACCUGGGCUGUGUGUCCCGACCACGGCCCUGGGGACAGUUUCAGGAUGCCCUCUACCUGCCCCGGUCGGGGUGUCCCUGCGGCCACCCGCGUAGUCUUUGUAGAGGCUUCAGCGGCUCGCAACAGAGAUCCCAAGUAGGCCGAGAAGCAGGCAGAGAGAGAGGAGGAAAGCAGGCUCCCUGCUGAGCAGAGAGCCCGAUGCGGGGCUCGAUCCCAGGACCCUGGGAUCACGACCUGAGCCGAAGGCAGAGGCUUCGACCCACGGAGCCUUCCGGGCGCCCCAGGCUGUUGGUAUUUUGAUAGGCAUUGCAUUCAGUCUGUCGACUGUCUGGGUUGUAUGGGCCUUUUAUGGACACCCUUCCAACCCGCAAACAUGGGCUGUCUGUUCCGUCUGUUGGUGUGUCCUCUUUGAUGUCUUUCGUGAGUAUUUUCUAGUGUCCGGAGCACAGAUCUCUCGCUUCUUUGGUGAAGUUCAUUCCUAGGUGUUUUCCCGCUUUGGGUGCCAUCGUCCAUGGGCCUGCCUGUUUUCUUUUUUUUAGAAAGAUUUUAUUUAUGUGUUGGAGAGAGAGUGAGAGAGAACCCAAGAGGGGGCAGGGAGGGGUGGAGGGGGAGAAGGAGAGAAGCAGACUCCCCGCCUAGCGGGGAGCCCCGUGCGGGGCUCGAUCCCAGGACCCUGAGGGCAUGACCGGAGCCGAAGGCAGACGCUUCGCCCGUGGAGCCACCCAGGCGCCCUGGAAUUGUUUGCUUCAUCUCCCUUUCUGCUUCUUCCUGUUCGAAAGGCAGGGGAUGUCUCUGUAUGGAUUUUGCCGCCUACCACCUUCCUGGAUUCGUUGAUGAGUUCCAGUCGGGUCUCCUGGAGUCUGGCAGGUCUCUUGCCUAUGCUACGUCGUGUCAUCUGCACGUAGUGAGAGCCUUACUUCUUUCUUCCCCAUGUAGAUGCCAUUUCCGUGUUCCUUCUUACGUGAUGCUAUGGCUGGACUUGCAGGACGGUUUGGACUGACCGCGGUGAGAGUCGACCUCCUCGUCGCGCUCCUCCUCGUCCGGGGAAAGGUCUCCGCGUGCUCCCCGCCGAGUGUGAGGGAACCGAUCUUGCAUCCAGGACUACAUCUCGCUUCCAGGUGGUGAGUGGUUUCCCUAAGGCGUUGUCCGAGUGUGUUGGCCCGUCGUUUUUGAGGAUGCUUGCCUCUGUGUUCAUCAGAGAUGCUGGCCUGCAUCUCUCUCUCCUCUUCUCUCUCUCCCUUUUUCUUUGAAUUUUGAUCUUUGUUUUGCUUUGAAGACUUGAUUGAUCGGUUGAUGGGUUGAUUUGUCAGAUCCCAUGUAGGCGGGGCGGCGGGCAGAGAGAGAGGAAGGGAAGCAGGCUCCCCGCUGAGCGGAGAGGCCGAUGCGAUGCGGGGGCCGGAUCCCAGGAAGGACCCUGAGGUCAUGCCUGGAGCAGAAGGCAGAGGCUUUCACCCAGUGAGCCCGCCAGGCGCCCCUCCCCUUUGUGAAAAGCAUGUGGUUUUAGGAGGAGCCACUGCAAAGUCAGCCACCCCCAUC
This is a long non-coding RNA of Mustela lutreola (European mink), 1760 nucleotides long. RefSeq lists it as uncharacterized. The record is from RefSeq and is a predicted model, not a curated record. The transcript has 3 exons. Lineage: Eukaryota; Metazoa; Chordata; Mammalia; Carnivora; Mustelidae.